GACAGAGGCCUCGAGCGUUGUGCGGAAUCACUGGGCUUAAAGCGUGUGUAGGCGGACGCCUAAGUACCUUGUGAAAUCCCACGGCUCACCCGUGGAACCGCUGGGUAUACUGGGUGUCUUGGGCCAUUCAGGGGCAACUGGAACAAGCGGUGGAGCGGUGAAAUGCGUAGAUAUCGCAUGGAACGCCGACGGUGAAAACAGGUUGCUGGGAAUGUGCCGACGCUGAGACACGAAAGCCAGGGGAGCAAACGGG
RNAcentral lists this ribosomal RNA (253 nucleotides) under uncultured bacterium. RNAcentral's name for it is "partial 16S ribosomal RNA". It matches the Rfam family "Bacterial small subunit ribosomal RNA", at positions 524 to 776 of the family's 1533-position model. The record is from RNAcentral.